Stomoxys calcitrans (stable fly) is the source of this 1205-nucleotide long non-coding RNA. RefSeq lists it as uncharacterized. The record is from RefSeq and is a predicted model, not a curated record. NCBI's taxonomy places the organism in Eukaryota, Metazoa, Arthropoda, Insecta, Diptera, Muscidae. The transcript has 3 exons.
GACCCCGGAGGGUCCGAACUGUCUCAGCGGAGAAAGGGGACAUAGUGUGCUGGCGAGCGCUGGCUGUUGGCGUUAGAGCUCCGGCUGUGGCUCAGUCUGGGGCGCGGUUCUUGCCAACACACCAUGUCCAGAGACAGGUGACCAAAAAUUCAAAUUUCAAACCAGCUCUGGAUGGAAAUGAAAAACACAGGGUCCCACUUAUGUUAAGGCAGGCAUGUCUUUCGCCUUCUUACUCGCACCUUCCGCUAUGGAUUCGCUCUUCAGGGGGCACUGAGACAUCCUACAGUGCCCUGGACGGCCCACCCCAACCAUGGUAUCCGUUGUCCAACAGUUUUGGAUACCCCAGAAUCGGUCUCCCUUAUCCCCCCUUACAGCUUGGUGCACUACCCCCUUCUUACCUUAAAUAACUACUCCUCCAUUGUGAAAUGAAAACUAGGCAAAGGCGAAUUUCAUUUCAAACGUUAUAAACGGUAUGUAUUUAUUAAGCCAAAUCAAAAAUUCAUUGCCAGACAAAGUUCAAUCAAACGAAAAAGCAAAGAAAACAAAACAAGGAAUUGCAUAGUGGCAAUUAAAAAAACUUCAAUUAUAUAGACUCCUCUCCUUCAAAGAGAAAAAUAGUAAUAAAAUUCUCCUUCCUCCACAGGUGUAUUGGGUCUUCUCUUGGUGUCUGGCCUUCCUUCAGGGUCGUCUCUCCUAACUGGAGUCAGUGCUGGGGCGGCUGAGCAGUGCCCACGCUUUCCUCUUGUCUGUCCGUCCGUCUGGUUGUGGCCUAAGUUCGCAAAGCGAACACCAACAGCAGUAAGGGCUCCUUUCCGCCCCAAAGGUCUAGAAUCUUUACCCCCUGGCCCUAGGUUGAGCUCGACCUAACAGCUGAGGACAGCGCCUAUUUAUUCUAGCGCUGUGUUACUUAUAGAAAGGAAAUAUGUGUGUCAAGGUCCUGUCCGUCCGUCUAAGUUCACGUAUACGUCCCGCAAUAGUGUUUGUGAGGAAAAGGGUACCUGCAGCACUGUCGGCUGACCAGUGCUUUUGAUAUAGAGCUUCCCACGAUGGACAGAGGAGGUGGAGGUGUAGCUUUAUGUUUUCGCGUUUGGCUUUUUGUUAUUUUGUGAUCAACUUUAGUGGUGUCUAUUGUCUUUGAUUUUCAAGUUUAGGAUUUUUAACUAUUGACUUUGAUUUGGUUUUUAGUUUUUUUUUCUUUUCAGGUC